UAAACUAAAGCAGAAUUGAUCAGGACACAAAGUUAAUGAUGGCAAAUUUUUGUUGUAGUGUGUUUUGUCUCAGGCCAAAUGCUGGAGUGUUACUUUGGCCUGUCUCUAUCGACGGUCAUGUCUAGAGAAAGGAAGUCGGCGGCGAGUUGAGAGGUCAAUGAUGCAGAUAGAGGAGUUGGUGAAUCAGAUGAAAACUAAUGACCCCCCAGCAUCAGACAGACUCUUCUUGUUCUUCUCUGUGAAGCUUCCUCCAUUUUGGAAACUAGAGAGACAGCUAGCAGAGCUCCUAUUAAGCAUUAGGUCUAUUGGUGGUGCUUUUGGGGUUUUU
This is a long non-coding RNA of Saccostrea cuccullata (small rock oyster), 328 nucleotides long. RefSeq lists it as uncharacterized. The transcript has 3 exons. NCBI's taxonomy places the organism in Eukaryota, Metazoa, Mollusca, Bivalvia, Ostreida, Ostreidae. The record is from RefSeq and is a predicted model, not a curated record.